GCCUGGGUGGCUCAGUUGGUUAAGCGUCCGACUUCGGCUCAGGUCACGAUCUGGCGGUAUGUGGGUUCGAGCCCCGCGUCGGGCU
This is a non-coding RNA of Felis catus (domestic cat), 85 nucleotides long. The record is from Rfam. Lineage: Eukaryota; Metazoa; Chordata; Mammalia; Carnivora; Felidae.